UUGAUCAUACCAGUGUUGAUU
This 21-nucleotide non-coding RNA is filed under the name Caenorhabditis elegans. Lineage: Eukaryota; Metazoa; Nematoda; Chromadorea; Rhabditida; Rhabditidae. The record is from RNAcentral.